GUUAUAGGCCCUAAAAUCCCCGAACUUGGAGCAGAGACUCCCGAGUCCCCAAAUCAAUUGCAAAGAAGAAGAAGAAGAAAGCCAGAGCAUAUAAUAAGCUUCGCGAACACUCUCUUCCGAAUCCCUAAACGACGUCGCACCGCACCAUGGAUCGGCAGGCCCACGACUACGCCGCCUACGCCCAACAACAACAGCAGCAGCAGCAGCAGCGACAACCGCCGCAGCCACAACAACCGCCGCCGCAGCAACAAUUCGGGUACCCGCCCCAGGCCCAACAGUUUCACGGCCCUCCUUUCGGACCCCCACACCCGCCCCUCCAGCAAUUCCCCUACCACCCCCACUUACAGCAGCAACCGCCGCCCCAGGUUCUCUCCCACGCGCCGCCGCCUCACCCUCACCACCUCCCCCUCCGCCGGCCUUCGCCCCCCACCUCCCCCUCCCCUCGUCCCCCCGCCUUUCCACGCCGGCCCUCCUCCUCCGGCCGCCGGUCCUCCCUCCGACCCGGAGCUCCACAAACGGAUCGACAAGCUCGUCGAGUACUCCGCCAAGAACGGCCCCGACUUCGA
This 566-nucleotide long non-coding RNA is filed under the name Rosa chinensis. Its description in RNAcentral is "sRNA RchiOBHm_Chr6g0305231". Lineage: Eukaryota; Viridiplantae; Streptophyta; Magnoliopsida; Rosales; Rosaceae. The record is from RNAcentral.